RNAcentral lists this long non-coding RNA (1251 nucleotides) under Oryza brachyantha (malo sina). RNAcentral's name for it is "long non-coding RNA (OBRA_LNC003031)". The record is from RNAcentral. Lineage: Eukaryota; Viridiplantae; Streptophyta; Magnoliopsida; Poales; Poaceae.
CGGCACCAUUGUCAUCGCCCACGUCCUCCGACCCGAGCUCCGCCCGCCUCGGCCUCUCUGCACCGGCCGUCGUCCGCCACCUGCAAUGGUGGAAGAUUGGACUGACAAUGGUGGAAGAUUACCAUCUGUAAUGGUGUCACCGAGCAUGCGUUCAUGUUUUUGGAUGUUUUUGUUUCAGUUUAUGGGUAAACGUUUCCUGGGUUUUCAGCUUUGCAAUACUAGGAUAAUGGGCUCUUGCCAUAAAAUGCUGAUCCUUAAGCCUCUUGACAAUAAAAUCUUGGGUCCGGUGCCUGCAAAGGCGGGCCCACAUCACAGUGCAGAUCGAGAUCGAACCGAGACGAAGAGGCUGAUUGAUGGCUGGCUUGUGAGGUUGCCCAAAGGAAAGGAAUUAAGAUGAUGGAGGUGGAGGAGCAGCAGAUCAACAAGACGAUGAACCUGACCCCGAGCUCAAGGAUGGAUUUCACCUACCCAAAUCAUGGUACCACUUCACUUUUUAUUUGUUCUUAUCUGUAUCAAAUUUAUAACACGGACCACAAUACUAUAAUCCUUCUGUACAAACAUCCUUUCAGGCUACCUUGCAUGUUUUCAUAAUACCAAUUGUCAAACUUGUGCCGAAAAAUCAUUCAAUGACACUGCGCACUUCUGUAGAGUCAAACACUGAAGUUAUUCUGUGUAGCUUACUCUUUUUUUUUUUUGGUAAAGCAUAUCAAGUAAGAAUAUUAAAAAGACCAGGAACUGCACUUUUGCAUGGCCAAGUGUCAAUGAAAAGAUGCACCCUAAUGUACUGAUUUAACUUUUUUUUUUCUUAUCUGUACCAAACACGGGCUGCUUUUCAGCGACAAUACUACAACCCUUCUGUACAAACAUAAAGUUUCUUAAAUUCCCUGGAGGCUACAUUGCAUAUUUGCAUAAUACCAAUUGUCAACCAUGUGCCAAAAAAAUCAUUCAAUAAUUUCUGGUUAAGGCAUUUUAACCUCUGUACAUGCCAUGCCAGUCAUUACAUGAAAGAAUUUAUAUAACAAAAAAAGAAAGAUGGCCACCAGCUAACUGCACUUUUGCAAUCUCAAAGUGGUACAUCCCAACGUACAACAUGGGGAAGAAUCAUCAUACACCUCGCUAAACCUAUAAUCUACUUCAAAGGUAUUAAUGUUGGUGAUCUGCUUUCAUUUUUACUAUUGGCUAAAUUUUGGCAGAAAGCAUCUCAUGUUGGUUCCAUUUUGUAAUUGAUGCAGUGCCACCAUGCCAUCUAGG